This 336-nucleotide unclassified non-coding RNA is filed under the name soil metagenome. RNAcentral's name for it is "partial contains 5.8S ribosomal RNA, internal transcribed spacer 2, and large subunit ribosomal RNA". The stretch from base 1 to 120 matches the Rfam family "5.8S ribosomal RNA", at positions 35 to 154 of the family's 154-position model. The record is from RNAcentral.
GAUGAAGAACGUAGCGAAAUGCGAUAAGUAAUGUGAAUUGCAGAAUUCAGUGAAUCAUCGAAUCUUUGAACGCACAUUGCGCCCGCCAGUAUUCUGGCGGGCAUGCCUGUUCGAGCGUCAUUUCAACCAUCAAGCCCCCGGCUUGUGUUGGGGACCUGCGGCUGCCGCAGGCCCUGAAAAGCAGUGGCGGGCUCGCUGUCACACCGAGCGUAGUAGCAUACAUCUCGCUCUGGGCGUGCUGCGGGUUCCGGCCGUUAAACCACCUUCAUAACCCAAGGUUGACCUCGGAUCAGGUAGGAAGACCCGCUGAACUUAAGCAUAUCAAUCAGCGGAGGA